This 439-nucleotide ribosomal RNA is filed under the name uncultured bacterium. Its description in RNAcentral is "partial 16S ribosomal RNA". It matches the Rfam family "Bacterial small subunit ribosomal RNA", at positions 339 to 795 of the family's 1533-position model. The record is from RNAcentral.
CUACGGGACGCUGCAGUGAGGAAUAUUGCACAAUGGGGGGAACCCUGAUGCAGCAACGCCGCGUGGAGGAUGACGCAUUUCGGUGUGUAAACUCCUUUUAUAUGUCAAGAAAAUGACGGUAGCAUAUGAAUAAGCACCGGCUAACUCCGUGCCAGCAGCCGCGGUAAUACGGAGGGUGCAAGCGUUACUCGGAAUCACUGGGCGUAAAGGACGCGUAGGCGGGUUGGAAAGUCAGGUGUGGAAUCCUACAGCUUAACUGGAGAACUGCACUUGAAACUUCUAAUCUAGAGUAUGGGAGGGGGAGAUGGAAUUAGUGGUGUAGGGGUAAAAUCCGUAGAUAUCACUAGGAAUACCUAAAGCGAAGGCGAUCUCCUGGAACAUUACUGACGCUAAGGCGUGAAAGCGUGGGGAGCAAACAGGAUUAGAUACCCUUGUAGUC